RNAcentral lists this ribosomal RNA (446 nucleotides) under uncultured bacterium. RNAcentral describes it as "bacterial SSU rRNA". It matches the Rfam family "Bacterial small subunit ribosomal RNA", at positions 329 to 792 of the family's 1533-position model. The record is from RNAcentral.
UGCCAGACUCCUACGGGAGGCAACAGUGGGGGAUAUUGCACAAUGGGGGAAACCCUGAUGCAGCGACGCCGCGUGGGUGAAGAAGCGCCUCGGCGCGUAAAGCCCUGUCAGCAGGGAAGAAAAUGACGGUACCUGACUAAGAAGCCCCGGCUAACUACGUGCCAGCAGCCGCGGUAAUACGUAGGGGGCGAGCGUUAUCCGGAUUCACUGGGUGUAAAGGGAGCGUAGACGGCCAUGCAAGCCAGUGGUGAAAGCCCGGGGCCCAACCCCGGGACUGCCCUUGGAACUGCAUGGCUGGAGUGCGGGAGGGGCAGGCGGAAUUCCUGGUGUAGCGGUGAAAUGCGUAGAUAUUAGGAGGAACACCGGCGGCGAAGGCGGCCUGCUGGACCGUAACUGACGUUGAGGCUCAAAAGCAUGGGGAGCAAACAGGAUUAGAUACCCCCGUA